Molecule: non-coding RNA, 2587 nt
Organism: Nicotiana tabacum (common tobacco)
Lineage: Eukaryota; Viridiplantae; Streptophyta; Magnoliopsida; Solanales; Solanaceae
Source: RefSeq, a predicted model, not a curated record
AUGUUAAGGACUGGCAGUCCUUAACUUUAAUUACAUGUUUAAAUGUUAAGGACAGACAGUCCUUAUCUUGGUCUUGCACUUACAGUACACCUGUUCUUAAUUCUACAAGGAUUGCUUUAUAACGUAUGUCCUUUGUUUCCCAUUCUCUUGACUUGUAGGAUGGAAACAAUAUGCAUAAUAGUUGCUUUUAAUGGUAGAUGGACUGAAGACUAUAAAUAUCUUGAUCAUCAAACAAAGCUUUUCCUAGCACCUGAGUCAAUUCAGUUUGAAGAUUUCGUUAAACAGAUUUUUGAGCUUAUUGAAUUGGAUAGAGAAAAGUUUGAAAUAGUGAUAUGGUUUGAUAUCAACCUUGGAACAAGCAAAGGAAUGCUUGUAUCCAAAGAUUUAGAUCUUCACACAUGUAUAGAGUUGCUAAAAACUCAUUCACUCUUCAAGAGCUGUCGUUUCAUAGUUGAUAUUUCGGAAAGAGUUUUUGCAUCAACAAGCAAUGAACAUGCCAACACAAAAACUCAACAUGACAAUCAAGAGCGAUGCCAACAGAUAGUUGAAGUAGAUAUGGUUGAAGCUCAACCUUUAAAUGAAGAGGUGCAUCAAACAUUUGAUUGUAUUCAAGUAGAAGGACAAAGCAUUAUAGAGAUUGACAACGAACAAGCUUUGGGUAUUCAUGUCUUAGAGAGUGCACUGGUAAUCGAAGUAGUUGCUGACAAAACUUGCACUCAAAUAACUAGACGAAGAUCAAAUUUGAAACAAAAAGAAUCCCCAACUACGAUAUUAAGAGAAAAUGCUUCUUUGGAUAAAAUAAAAGUCGGAUCAGUAUUUGAUAAGAAGAAGAGCAUAAUUAACUGUUUUUCCAAUAUAGCAAUCAAAGGACAUUUUGAAUUCAAAGUUGUUAGAUCAAGAUCAACAAGAUAUUCGUUGACAUGCAAUGAUGAUAGGUGUCGUUGGUGUGUGCGUGCUUUCAGAAUUAAAGACUCAACAUUAUUCAAGAUAGUAAAGCUUGAAAAAAAGCACGACUGCUCUGUUAACACUAGGAAAGCAGAUCAAAGGCAUGCUACUUCAAAGUUGAUUAGUGGUUACAUUAUUGAUAAUCUUCGGAACCCAAGAUUUGAAGUUACACCAGCUUUUGUCAUGGCAGAGAUGCAAAAAUUGCAUGGACUAGACAUUGGAUAUCACAAGGUGUGGCGUGCUAUUCAACAUGCUUUCACUAUAAUAAGAGGAAGUCCCGAAGAAAAUUAUGAAUUAUUGUGUUCAUACUUGUAUAUGAUGACAAGUAAGAACCCAGGAACUUAUACUAAUAUAAAGAUAGACGACAACAACAGGUAAACCAUCGAUAGCUGGUUGGAAUCAUUGUAGACCAGUGAUUGCUGUUGAUGCAACUUUUUUGAAGUCAAAAUAUCGCGGUGUUUUAAUGAUUUCAGUUUCAAAAGAUGCAAAUAACCAAAUUUUCCUAUUAGCCUUUGGAAUAGCAGAAUCUGAAAACAACAGUUCCUAUGAUUGGUACUUUAGUCAGCUUCGCAAUGCAAUUGGGAGCCGUGAGAAUUUGAUUUUUUUAUCAGAGAGGCAUCAAGCUAUUGCAAAUGGCAUUGUAAAGGUAUAUCCUGAAAGCCAUCAUAGGAUUUGCAUCUAUCAUUUGGAGCAGAACCUAAAGUGAAGAAAGGUGAAAAGUGAGGUCAUAAAACUUUUCCAAAGUGCUGCUAGAGUAUACAAGCGUAAAGAAUUUGACAUAUACAUGUCAGAUAUUGCAAAUGUAGAUAAGAAAACUUAUGACUACUUGAUGUAAGAACCACCGGAAAGAUGGGCACGUUCUUGUAGUCCACGAUGAAGAUAUGACAUGCUCACAACAAACAUAGUUGAGUCGAUGAAUUCAGUGCUAUUAGAAGCAAGGGAGCUGCCUAUACUAAGAAUGAUGGAUUUCAUUCAAGUGAAGCUACAACAUUGGUUUUAUGAAAGAAGAAAUAAAGCAGAAGGAACAUUUUAUGAUGUUUCUUGUUGGGUAGAGGAGGAAUUGAAGAACAGAAUAGAUUUAGCAUUUACUUUGAACGUCUUCCCUGUUGAUUCAUGGCGUUCUAGAGUUGAAGAAGAAGGAAUAACUUUCUUGGUGGACUUAAACAAAAGAACAUGUGAUUGUUUUCAAUUUCAACUUGAUGAAUUACCAUGCAUACAUGCAAUUGCAGCUAUCGAGAAGAGAAACAUCAAGAAGUCUGACUUUUGUUCGCACUGGUACUUAAAGGAAUCUUGGCUGAAAACAUAUGAAAGACAAAUACAUCCUGUAGGACAUACUGAUUCAUGGAUUGUACCAGAGAGUGUUAAGUCACAAAUUGUUAAACCUCCAGAUUUCAAAGUGCCACCAGGUAGAAGGCAAAAGAAAAGGCAUAUUCCUGCUACCGAGCCAUCAAAAAUAACAUUCAAAUGUGGUCGUUGCAGAAGAAUUGGUCAUAAUAGAACAGCUUGUAUAUAUUCUCCGGCACUCCAUCCAUUUUCAAGAAAGCAUAGAGAAGAGUAGAAAUAUACACUUAUGUUUAUCGACUCUUUUAGGUUUUUGCUAUAGAUUGUAUUCAUUAUUAUUCUAAUUUGAGUGGAUGCCUAG